GGAGGAAUAUCGGUGGCGAAGGCGGCCCCCUGGACGAAGACUGACGCUCAGGUGCGAAAGCGUGGGGAGCAAACAGGAUUAGAUACCCUGGUAGUCCACGCCGUAAACGAUGUCGACUUGGAGGUUGUGCCCUUGAGGCGUGGCUUCCGGAGCUAACGCGUUAAGUCGACCGCCUGGGGAGUACGGCCGCAAGGUUAAAACUCAAAUGAAUUGACGGGGGCCCGCACAAGCGGUGGAGCAUGUGGUUUAAUUCGAUGCAACGCGAAGAACC
RNAcentral lists this ribosomal RNA (271 nucleotides) under Shigella boydii. RNAcentral describes it as "partial 16S ribosomal RNA". It matches the Rfam family "Bacterial small subunit ribosomal RNA", at positions 700 to 970 of the family's 1533-position model. RNAcentral also lists the same sequence under 1 other name. The record is from RNAcentral. Lineage: Bacteria; Pseudomonadati; Pseudomonadota; Gammaproteobacteria; Enterobacterales; Enterobacteriaceae.